RNAcentral lists this ribosomal RNA (497 nucleotides) under uncultured bacterium. RNAcentral describes it as "partial 16S ribosomal RNA". It matches the Rfam family "Bacterial small subunit ribosomal RNA", at positions 28 to 507 of the family's 1533-position model. The record is from RNAcentral.
GAUGAACGCUGGCGGCGUGCCUAAUACAUGCAAGUCGAGCGAACAGAUGAGGAGCUUGCUCCUCUGACGUUAGCGGCGGACGGGUGAGUAACACGUGGAUAACCUACCUAUAAGACUGGGAUAACUUCGGGAAACCGGAGCUAAUACCGGAUAAUAUAUUGAACCGCAUGGUUCAAUAGUGAAAGACGGUUUUGCUGUCACUUAUAGAUGGAUCCGCGCCUCAUUAGCUAGUUGGUAAGGUAACGGCUUACCAAGGCAACGAUGCGUAGCCGACCUGAGAGGGUGAUCGGCCACACUGGAACUGAGACACGGUCCAGACUCCUACGGGAGGCAGCAGUAGGGAAUCUUCCGCAAUGGGCGAAAGCCUGACGGAGCAACGCCGCGUGAGUGAUGAAGGUCUUCGGAUCGUAAAACUCUGUUAUUAGGGAAGAACAAAUGUGUAAGUAACUAUGCACGUCUUGACGGUACCUAAUCAGAAAGCCACGGCUAACUACGUG